AUCCAACUGGCUAGUCCCAAACAGGACGAAAUGCGCGUUCUGAAU
Molecule: non-coding RNA, 45 nt
Organism: Schistosoma curassoni
Lineage: Eukaryota; Metazoa; Platyhelminthes; Trematoda; Strigeidida; Schistosomatidae
Source: Rfam